UAACAUCGUUCGUUCUAUUUACAGUACUGGUUCGUUUUCAGUGAGUCACAGUUCUUACACAAUUGUAUUUAUGAAGGAAAUAACCAAUUUAAAAAUUUGUAUUUGUGCUAUGUUCGCUAUCCACGAUAAUAGUAUGUAGUAUGUAUAAAGUAUAUAAAGUAAAUAUGCACAUAUUCACAUUACAAAACUUAAUUCGAAGGAAUAUGUUUAGAAAUGCCAAUUUCCAUAAUUACCGGGUCUCUUACUUCCAAUAUGCAAUGUCACUUGCCAAGGAAACCCCAUCCUCUCUAUAUAACAGGAGCGGGGAAACUUCCAAAGUUGCAGCUUUCAGAGACAGCAGCUGUAUUCUUAAGUUGUAGCUCUUUUGCAAAGAUAAUGUACCAGUAGCAGUAUCCUGCCAAUAUACACGCGGUCAGCAGGUUUCAUUUUUUAGUCUUUAUCUAUUCUUGGGUGAGAUACACUGCUUCAAGAAGUUUUUUCCGUGUUUUUGCUUCUGUUCAUUUUCUACUACGAUAUUUUAACUUUGAUUGAUAUAUUUCUUCCAAAUAUGGUCGGCUUCUUUAUUACUUGUCCUCGCCGUUCUUGUCCUUCAUAUAGUCCCUUCGCUCUCAUUUAGAAAUCCCAGUCUUUCUGCGUUGAAUCAGCGUGUGUACUUUAAUGUGAUUUUCCGCAACGAACAGACGGCAGCUUGAGAUUUAUUAUAUCCCGCAUCUCGGCGUAGUGAAACCACCGUUACGGAGCAUAUCGUAUUUUACGGGGCAAGCGCUGAUGGGAUGGAAAUCUAAAUGCAACCCUUUACUUGCGCCUCGCCAAAUUCAAAACAGGUGGUGUAAAACUUUUGGCAUGAUAGCUAAACUCCAUGAAUUAGCACGUAGAUCGUCCCAAUGAUACUGCAUUGGUGUUGUCAGCAGGAUAUUAGCAAUUGAGAAAAAGUGAAAAAUUCUUGUGCAGCAGUGCGACAUACGAGUAUGUAUACAGAUGUGCUUUGUGUCAGUGCAAUUGGGGGUAAAAUGAGUGAAUUAUUCUUGUAAUCAUAUAACGGGUUAAUAUUGCCCAAGUGAUUUGUAGUCAAUUGCCCCCGAUGGUGUUUACGUGUUGUAAUUUUGGGCAACAUAUAUUGAUGAAAGCUUAAUACUAAUUACUUUGGAAUUUAACAAAGCAGCUAAUUGAUGUUAAUUGAUAUUGGGGAGACAGCCACUGAUAGGUUUUAAAUACGACGUCUACAGCAACUCAUUGCCCCCAACGAAAAUGCCAAUAAUUUGAGGAAUUAAGAUGGCGACAUAGAGAUAUAACAUAUCAAAGCGUCUAAUUAGCAACUGAAGUGUCAGACCUACUAAUUAUCUCCAUGCUUGUUUACACCAUUUCAUAGAGUUGCAUUCUCAAAUAACCUACUAACAAUGAUGGCAUCCUUUACUAUUAUCUCGUUUUAAGCAGUUGCUCGUAAAGAGGAAGUCAACAGAGAAAAGGCUAUAUACGAGCCUCAUAUAAGUGAGGGAACUCAUUUCUUCUUCCUGUUACUGUAAACAAAUUUGACCAAGUUGUUGCCGAACGAGGCGAUAAAUACACUCAAGGUGGAAGGAGGCUAAAAUUCAACGUAAAACUUUCUUAAGAACAGGGAGGCAUAGGUUACUGGUUGUGACAGAGGAAAGGAUGGGCGAUUUCGAGAGAAUUCGUUUAGUAAUCCUUGGAGGCGCCGGUGUAGGAAAAAGUUGUGUUCUUAAACGUUUUCUCUUCAAAACAUACUCUGAUAAGUAUCGAGCAACAGUGGAGGACCUUUACAACAGAGAAUACGAUCUAGGCGGAGUGACCCUUAAGGUCGAUAUUUUAGACACUUCUGGGGAUAUGCAAUUUCCUGCAAUGCGACGCCUUUCAAUAGCAACUGCUCACGCAUUCCUACUCGUCUAUGCAACGACAUCGGCUCCAAGCUUCGCCUGCGUGAAACAAUGCUUUGAAGAAAUUCGGGAACAACGUGCAGAUUUUCAGGACAUUCCAAUCGUCAUAGCAGGCAACAAAUCGGAUUUAGCCCAAACCCAUCGUGAAGUUCGACUUGAGGAAGUAUCAGAUUGGGUAUAUUGCGAGCUACCCAGACUCAGGGCAAAGGUUAUGGAGUGUUCGGCUAAGGAUGAUUACAAUGUGACAGAAUUAUUCAAAACUCUACUGUCGCUGUCAAGAUUCUUACCUGUAGGUAAUAACGAAAAUACAUCUGGAUUAAAACGUAGAUCAUCAGCAUACGUCAGUGCAACUAGUAAAGGAAAAGCAAGAAUUGGAAGUCCGUCAAUAUCCACUACUAGCAACACUUCAGUGUUAACGUCAACCUCGGCAAUAGCAGACCCAACAGCCAGUGGAGAAUCAAGAUUGAAACCCCGAUCGAGAUCUCUUAUACGAAGAUCAUCGCGCAAAGCAAAGCAACAAAUUCAAAAUGCACCAACAGAUGAUUGCAACGUGCAGUAGGAAAGAGAAACGGACAAAUUCUCUUUUUAAUCAGUUGGAUCUGUCUUUUACUUUUCUUUCAAAUGAGAGUUAAGAUUAUCCAGCAUAAAGGUGCUCAAAUCAACUUGAGAUACGAAAUAGGUUAACCCAUGAUCUCCUUCCAGAAUCUUCUAGGAUAUAAUAGUUGACGUUGUAUACAAUAAAUUUUCUAAUAUAUAAUAGCGUUGUUUUGUUUGUAUAGCUGUUUUUGAUUGCUGUUGUAAAAAUUACCAUUGAAAUUCAUUAUGGCGUUAUUUUUUAAAAGCACUGAUACAUUUUCCUACAAUCCUACAAAUGUUCAUAUUAGAUUUACUCAAAACUAAGGUGAAAAAGAUGUGUUGAGGCUACGUGUAGCUUUAUAUAUAAUAUAAGUUAUAUAGUUAGGAAUGCGGACAUAAAAGCAGAUAUUUGGAAAAGUUUCUAAAAGAAAGCGACAAAGGGUAUGUCAGAAUAACCCUUUAGAGAGCAAACUCCGCGCAUACGUCGUGUAAAUACAUUGUUUGUCGGGUGUUUCCAUAAAUUAUUUCCAGAUUUCAGGUUACAAACAGAAGAUAUGAACGAAUCGUCCAAUCUGCACAUACAUAUAUUAUGUAACUACAUUCGAAGCACGUUAUUAAUACGCAAUGUUGUUGGUAUAUUGAAAACGUUUUUUGCACUAAAAAGCCGAUUGUUAGUUCGAUUUUUUGUUAAAUAUAGUGUUGUAAGUGGUGAUAUUUGAAAAAUGUAAUCGAAAAUGUGGCAAAUUCAAAAUGAAGUAACUUUCUUCUAAAAAUGCGCAUCAUCAAAUUAAAAGUUCUUAAUAAACAUUUCAUGAGAACUUACUUCCAAGUAAAAUUGCUCGUUUCGAACAUAUUUUAAUGUGAAAUUUAUCAAAACUGAGGAGACUCUUAGCAUGUAUAAUAUUUAGACAAAUACGGUGUAAAUAAGAGAAACGAUGCAAAGUGAAUUGUGAUGAAAAUAUUAGAUAUUUGCAGUUAAAAUUAUACAACAAAACUGAAGGAUAUACUAGUUCUUUUCCUCCAUUUUGAAUUGAAUAACAGGAAAUCACUAACUCUACUUUCCAUUGAAUUUUUCAACCGAAACUAAACGCAUUGGAACUAGUUAUAGAAAGAAGUAUGUACUUAUAUACGUAUAUUUGCAAAAGAUUUUUGAUUAACGCUGACGAGGUGAAUGAAGUGGUGAAACUAAAUUUUAUCAUUGAAUGUCCCCCCAAUACAUAAGUUAUAAUGUUUACAUUGUUAUAUGAGACUGCAAAUAUUUAUACAAAAACUAUUGCAGUCUAAGAAUGGUGGUAACAAGCGUGGAGCUGAUUCUCUUAAUUCUUGGAAAGUGUCACAUGCUCCCACAUAUUUACUUCUAUCAUUUAAUAUAAAUGCUACACAGGUUGCCGAUUUUUUACAAUAUCAAUAGGAACCAACGUACAGAAAGUAACGUUCCAUAUAAUACACGCAAAAUGCAGCACCCUUUAAUAUCUUUAACAUUUGAGCAGUCAGUCAAGAUUGUUAAAUAACUAAAUGCUAAUAUAUAUCGCGGGGGCAUUAAAGGUGCAGGUAAUUUUUAUUAGAAAUUAAAAUGCGAAGUAAAUCGAGAACUUAACUUUGGAGAUAUGCAUUGUUGUUAAAUAUAAAAUAUAAGAAUAUUCAUAUUGUUUACUGAAUCAAAAAUGGUUUCUGCUGUUAGCAUAUUAAGGUAAGACUUUUUGAAACUACAGUUGAGUAGGUUUGAAAGUUAAAUAAAUCAAAACAAAUCACUACAGAAAAUACAAGAUUAAAUUAAUAGGGCCAAUCCAAGGCCCAAUCAUAUUUGAUAAAUGAAUAACAAGGACACACAAUUAUGGAAUUGAAAGUUGAGAUCUCACGCAAUUGAACUCCCUCCUAGAUAUGACUGAAUAUUUGCCAACUUUUUUAACAGCCUCACUUUAUAGCACAAAAAUCUAUAAGAACGCACCCCUAAAUCAACUUAUAUAUGCCACUUUUUCAUGCUUUUAUACAGUGGGUAGGCAUUUUAAAAUCGACUUAAAAUUUUCAAACUCUGUAGAGUUCGAUUGUUACAAUUGUCCACUUCAAACACAAUAGAUUAAAUAUUGAUAAUAAGUUGCUUAAAGUAUUUUAAGAAAGUGUGAUAUGAAAGAUUUUCAAACUCAUAAUAAAAACGGAAAAAUAGAUUUGCUAAAGUUCUGCCUUGUAAUACCGAACUGAUCGAAUUUUAAGGUAGACAAUGUAUAGCGAGAGUCUUCGAAUUUUUAUUUUUCAAUUUAGUGAGCAGCAUAUAAAAGAAUUUCGCCCUGGAACCACCGUUCGAUCUAAUAAUUGCGGUUGUUAACAUUGUCUUCAUAAUUUUGUUUUCAAAUAGUAAUUUUUCAUGAAAUAAUAAAAAUUUAACAUUUAGUGGGAAAGUUAUUACACUGGCAGCUAUUAUCAAAGAAUAACAUCAUUCCAAUCGUUUGAAUAUUUUGAAACAAAUUACUUACAUUACUUGGAAUACGAAAUCGAAAAACGCAAUGUUGAAACUGAUGUUUUGCACGACUACAUACCGUAACGAAAACUUUAAAUGCGUUGUCCUUCGAACAGUAAUUGAAAAUUUUAUAUUUUUCUUAAGCUUAUCAUCAUAUAUCUAUAAAAGGUUUGGAAAUAUUAUAAAUGCGUUUUUUAACUUUGAGUAAUGAAAUUUGUGAUAACUUGACAACCAAUGUCAUUUCAUUAUAAAAAUAAAUGUUUGAUCGCUAGCUCUUGUAUUUAAGGAACUAUUUUCAAUUGGUUCAUUCUUCUUGAUAUUAUUGUUAGGUUGCGUUUACCAUUUGGUGCUGUGUGGUAGUGUGCAGUGCUCGUAAUUUAGCCGAAGAGGCAGCAUUAUCUCCAAUUAUCGACGGAGGGAAAAAAUUGACUGCUAAGUAAAAAUAAUUAUGAUACGUUGAAGUGAUGUUGCCCCUUAAAGUGGUCUUUAGCCCAAUAUCUAGGAAGUCGACGAAACUCAUAAUCAAAACCACUUGUUAAAUCAAAAUUACUUCAAAAUAAAUAUCAAAGUACCUCUUAUACCUGUAUAAGUAUCUAGUAUUAUCACUUAGCCAAACAAGGAAGUAAAUCAAAAACAAAAUAAAGGGGAUCAAAAUGUAAAAGAACUGGCAUAUUUUGAAAAUAAUUAUCCAGCAAAUCCGUUUAUAUUUUUAAUCUUUGAAAAUAGCAGUUUCAAGGCAACUCAAAGUUUUUCCACAUAUAUGUGUAUUUGAAAGUUUAUUAUCCGAACUGUCAUUUGACCAAUUAGCGUAAUUUGUGAAAAUUACAUAUUAAUCAUCUGAGUGUUUGAAAGAAGUAUCAUAUUGAUCAAUGUUGAUAUGUUCAAUAUAAAAUUAACUAAAGAAUUUACUGGAGUAUUAAGAAUACGAUGAGCAGCCGUUGAGAUCAACUAACUUAUUAAAGAUUGUUCAGUGUAUCGUGUUUAAAUCAAGGAAUUCCAAUUCUGAGACGAAUGAAACCAUUAUUAGCGCUCUACACAAUUAUAAUAUAAGACCGCGUUUUGAUUCAAAAAGCACAAUAAAACGAAGAGUAAUUUAUUAAUAAUAAAGUUUUCGCUGUUGAGAAAAACUUCUUUUUUUAUUUCAUCUGGAAUUAAUUUUAGAAUCAAGGAUUGAUAUAUUGAGUAAAUUUUGACCCUUGCAGGGAUGUUAUUUUUCGUCCCUUGCAUAGUGAUGCGAACCAAUAAUUGCCAAUCCGGCGACUGAUUCAAUUUGAGAAGUAUAUCUCUUGGAUCCAUGCAUCAGCCAUCCAACUGGGUAAUGAUAAAAUCCACAGAUUACGGUCAAGUUAAACCAUUAGUUUAACAGCGUCUGAAU
RNAcentral lists this unclassified non-coding RNA (6298 nucleotides) under Hermetia illucens (black soldier fly). Its description in RNAcentral is "gTP-binding protein Di-Ras2, transcript variant X7". The record is from RNAcentral. Lineage: Eukaryota; Metazoa; Arthropoda; Insecta; Diptera; Stratiomyidae.